AGGAAGCACCGGCUAACUCCGUGCCAGCAGCCGCGGUAAUACGGGGGGUGCAAGCGUUGUUCGGAUUUAUUGGGCGUAAAGCGCGUGUAGGCGGUUUUAUAAGUCUGAUGUGAAAGCCCCGGGCUCAACCCGGGAAGUGCAUUGGAUACUGUAAGACUUGAAUACGGGAGAGGGCAGUGGAAUUCCUAGUGUAGGAGUGAAAUCCGUAGAUAUUAGGAGGAACACCGGUGGCGAAGGCGGCUGCCUGGACCGAUAUUGACGCUGAGACGCGAAAGCGUGGGUAGCAAACAGGAUUAGAUACCCUGGUAGUCCACGCCGUAAACGAUGAGAACUAGGUGUCGCGGGUAAAUCG
Molecule: ribosomal RNA, 352 nt
Filed under: uncultured Geobacter sp.
Lineage: Bacteria; Pseudomonadati; Thermodesulfobacteriota; Desulfuromonadia; Geobacterales; Geobacteraceae
Description: bacterial SSU rRNA
Rfam family: Bacterial small subunit ribosomal RNA
Source: RNAcentral